AUGGGUGAAGUGCUACGGAAGCACGGACGGCUCCAACCCGUUCAGCCCAGGUUCGACUCCUGGCACCCGUG
This 71-nucleotide transfer RNA is filed under the name Oerskovia douganii. RNAcentral describes it as "Oerskovia sp. Sa1BUA8 tRNA-Trp". It matches the Rfam family "tRNA". From Rfam's summary of the family: Transfer RNA (tRNA) molecules are approximately 80 nucleotides in length. Lineage: Bacteria; Bacillati; Actinomycetota; Actinomycetes; Micrococcales; Cellulomonadaceae. The record is from RNAcentral.